This 354-nucleotide ribosomal RNA is filed under the name uncultured bacterium. Its description in RNAcentral is "bacterial SSU rRNA". It matches the Rfam family "Bacterial small subunit ribosomal RNA", at positions 28 to 314 of the family's 1533-position model. The record is from RNAcentral.
GAUAAACGCUGGCGGCGUGCCUAAUACAUGCAAGUUGAGCGGUAAGGUUCUACACCCACUAUUUGACCAGAUAAGUUUCUUGCAAAAGAAAUACUGUCUGCAGCGAUGAUCUCUGGCUGAGAUUAUAGUCGAAUGAUGAGUGUAGAAUACACGAGCGGCGGACGGCAGAGUAACGCGUAGGAACGUACCCAAACAGAGGCAUAAGCCCGGGAAACCGGGUCUAAACCGCAUAAUAUCUUCGGAUUAAAGCUUCGGCGGUUUGGGAGCGGCCUGCGUAUGAUUAGCUAGUUGGUGAGGUAAUGGCUCACCAAGGCGACGAUCAUUAGCUGGUCUGAGAGGAUGAUCAGCCUGACU